CUUGCCUGGAGAAUUCCAUGGACAGAGGAAUCUGGCAGGCUAGAGUCCAUGGGGUUGCAGAGUCAGACAUGACUGAGCAUUGGGAUGCGCAAGGGAGCAUGCGCUGGGUAUCCAGGUGUGCCCAAUAUUAUCAUUAGCAUCCUUAUAUAAGGUAGAGAAACGCUGGUGAGUCAGUGCCGGAGAGAUGUGGUGUGGGAAAGAAGGGACUGGACGUUGCUGGCUUUAAAGGUAGAAGGAAGCUGUAAGGCCAAGAAAUGUGGGUGACCCCUAGAAGAAGGAAAAGGCAAGGCACGAAAGUGGAUUUUCUCCUUGAGCCUCUAGAAAGGAAUGGAGCCCUGGCGUCACCUUGAUUUUAGCCCAAUGAGACCCAUUUUGGACUUCUGAAUUCCAGAACAGCACCACUAGGACCCUGACCACCUGAGGUUUCAAGACAAAGAAGCACGGGGUCAUGACAUACAGGAAGGCAGCAAUGAGUGGAACCAAAUGGAAAUCUACUUGAGCCUAAGGCAGUGAUCUCUCCUCCCAAGGAAAAUAAGCUCUAGGAUUUCACAAAUAGUUCAGCCCAUUUGUCAGGAUACAAGAGCUAGUUGGGCUUUGAGAACAGGCAAGGUUUAUUUGUUGUGCAUGCCUCCAUUGGAAACUCACUUAUAUGGAAACUUAUAUGACUCUACUAGGUGAAGCCAUAUAAAAUCUUCAAGUGCUUCACCAUUUUUAGUCUACUAAAAUGGCAAUUUUAUGUUGUCUAACACAAUCAUAGACUCUGGGGACUUGGGAAGCCAGUUAGCAAUGGAAUUUCUAUAUAAGACAACAGAAUUUCUAUAUAAGACUUAGAAGUGUUAUUUUGGUGGAGGGUGGAGACAUGUAAGAAAUUUACAGGGAAGCGUCAUUUGCUUAGCACACACACUGUUUUUACUUAGUCCACACAAUUGCUUGGAAUGCUCCCUUCCUGCUCUUCUCACCUA
Molecule: long non-coding RNA, 962 nt
Organism: Bubalus bubalis (water buffalo)
Lineage: Eukaryota; Metazoa; Chordata; Mammalia; Artiodactyla; Bovidae
Exons: 2
Source: RefSeq, a predicted model, not a curated record